Molecule: ribosomal RNA, 119 nt
Organism: Pteropus vampyrus (large flying fox)
Lineage: Eukaryota; Metazoa; Chordata; Mammalia; Chiroptera; Pteropodidae
Source: Ensembl
GUCUAUGGCCAUACUACUCUGAACAAGCCCAAUCCUGUCUGAUCUCGGAAGCUAAGCAGAGUCAGGCCGGGUUAGUACUUGAAUGGUAGACCACCUAGGAAAACCAGGUACUGUAGGCA